AUUGAACGCUGGCGGCAGGCCUAACACAUGCAAGUCGAGCGGAUGAAGGGAGCUUGCUCCUGGCUUCAGCGGCGGACGGGUGAGUAAUGCCUAGGAAUCUGCCUGGUAGUGGGGGAUAACGUCCGGAAACGGGCGCUAAUACCGCACACGUCAUGAGGGAGAACGUGGGGGAUCUUCGGUCCUCACGCUUUCUGAUGAGACUAGGUCGGAUUAGCUAGUUGGUGAGGUAAAGGCCUACCAAGGCGACGAUCCGUAACUGGUCUGAGAGGAUGAUCAGUCACACUGGAACUGAGACACGGUCCAGACUCCUACGGGAGGCAGCAGUGGGGAAUAUUGGACAAUGGGCGAAAGCCUGAUCCAGCCAUGCCGCGUGUGUGAAGAAGGUCUUCGGAUUGUAAAGCACUUUAAGUUGGGAGGAAGGGCAGUAAGUUAAUACCUUGCUGUUUUGGCGUUACCAACAGAGUAAGCACCGGCUAACUUCGUG
This 484-nucleotide ribosomal RNA is filed under the name uncultured bacterium. Its description in RNAcentral is "partial 16S ribosomal RNA". It matches the Rfam family "Bacterial small subunit ribosomal RNA", at positions 30 to 507 of the family's 1533-position model. The record is from RNAcentral.